RNAcentral lists this long non-coding RNA (478 nucleotides) under Medicago truncatula (barrel medic). RNAcentral describes it as "lncRNA gene13208". The record is from RNAcentral. Lineage: Eukaryota; Viridiplantae; Streptophyta; Magnoliopsida; Fabales; Fabaceae.
GUGAUUUCUGUAAUGCAGAAAAGCAACACCACAUCUGAAAUUAUUUUCACUCUGUUACAAGAGCUGCCACAAGGCCAAGCAUAACAGAUUACAACAUUAUUGUGGAGUGUUUGGAAAAGCCGUAAUUUACGUGUUUGGGAGAAUGUUACGGACAUUGGGCAGGUUAUUGUUGAGCGCGCGAAGCAAAUGCUACAGAACUGGAAUUUCGCAAAUUGUAAGAAGCAAAUAAGUGGGGCUGCUGGAGCUGCACCACAUACUACUGCUGUCAUUAGUGGAGGAUCUUGAACUUUUUUUCUGAGGGUGCCAAAUAUGUUUAGAAUAUAUAUAAAUCCGUUUUAAGUUAUUGACAAAAUUAUGAAUUAGCCUAGUGGUUUAUUUUCCUGAAACUACCAUAGAGAAUGUGGUUCAAUUCCCAUUGGAACCUCUUUUUUUGAGUAAAGUAUUAAUAAUACAAUGGAUAAUAUAAAAAAAGAAGCUA